AUAAAGUAAGCUAAUAUAAGCUAGUGGGUUCAUACCCCAAAUAUGAAUAUGUUUCCUUUAUU
This 62-nucleotide transfer RNA is filed under the name Ixodes pavlovskyi. RNAcentral's name for it is "tRNA-Met". Lineage: Eukaryota; Metazoa; Arthropoda; Arachnida; Ixodida; Ixodidae. The record is from RNAcentral.